GACGAACGCUGGCGGCGUGCUUAACACAUGCAAGUUGAACGGAAAGGCCCUGCUUGCAGGGUACUCGAGUGGCGAACGGGUGAGUAACACGUGGGUGACCUGCCCUGCACUUCGGGAUAAGCUUGGGAAACUGGGUCUAAUACCGGAUAGGACCGCACUUUAGUGUGUGUGGUGGAAAGUUUUUUCGGUGUAGGAUGAGCUCGCGGCCUAUCAGCUUGUUGGUGGGGUAAUGGCCUACCAAGGCGGCGACGGGUAGCCGGCCUGAGAGGGUGUACGGCCACAUUGGGACUGAGAUACGGCCCAGACUCCUACGGGAGGCAGCAGUGGGGAAUAUUGCACAAUGGGCGCAAGCCUGAUGCAGCGACGCCGCGUGGGGGAUGAAGGCCUUCGGGUUGUAAACUCCUUUCGCUAGGGACGAAGCUUUUUGUGACGGUACCUAGAUAAGAAGCACCGGCUAACUACGUG
Molecule: ribosomal RNA, 465 nt
Filed under: uncultured bacterium
Lineage: Bacteria
Description: partial 16S ribosomal RNA
Rfam family: Bacterial small subunit ribosomal RNA
Source: RNAcentral